AACUGCAAAGAAUUUCAAAACAAGACGGCAACUCUAACCCAACUUGCAAACUUUCCCAUAUUCUUUUCUGCUCCGGCAUUCUGUUCAUUGUCUUUCCGAUUUUUGAUGUAUCCAGUUUUUCAAUCCCCUUACGGAAUUUUUCAUCCUCUUCUCGAUUGAGUUGAACUAUUGUGAGGCACGCAUACCAAGCAGAUUAGUUGCUUGGGUAGUUAGAGUAUCUGUUAUUCAACAUGCACAUGGCAACACAUGACAUGGAUCCUGAUGUUGUUCGCUGGGGUCUACAUCAUCUUCUAGGUGUCUGUACACUUUCUAAUAAUGGUUCACCCAGUAUCAUAGCUCAAUAUGAUCCGGAUUCAGGUCAAGUUGAAUAUGUUAGAGAAGGCUUUUGUCAUUAUGAUAAUGUGGAGAAUGAUGAGGCAGUUGCUCGUGCUUAUCAAGAAGAGUUAUCACGAAUUGAUUCCAUGGAAGCUUCUGGGUCAUCAAAUUCUGAGAAUCAGCAUGUUCGGGCAUCAGUUCUUGCACAAGAUUGGUGUUCUGAUUCGAAUAGAUCUCAUGACUCUGUUACGAUAUCAUGUCCACCAUAUGUUGGAAGUGACACCUAUCAAAAAGCCAUCGAUGAACCAAACAAUAUGAAAGAAGUGGAGAAUUAUGGUCAAAGCGAAAAGGAAAAUGAUACAGUACAUGAAAUUGAUAUCUUUGGCUCGUCUUCUGGAUCUGAUGUACCUGUUUUUAAUGAGGAUUUGUGGCAUUCCUUGGAAAUAUCAGAUGAGUCUGUCCUUGAUAGUGAAGUUGGUAAAAGAUUGAAUCAGAUGGUUCCCAUUCCUCAUAUUCCUAAAAUCAAUGAAAAACUACCAUCUGAUGAUGAACAAAUAUCAGAUCACCAAAGGCUGUUAGAUAGGUUGCAGUUAUAUGAUCUGGUUGAGAAUAAGGUUGAAGGAGAUGGUAACUGCCAGUUUCGUGCUUUGUCAGACCAGCUUUAUCGCUCUUCAGAGCACCACAAAUUUGUACGAGAGCAAAUCAUUAAACAGCUAAAGUCUCACCCAGAACUAUAUUCGGGUUAUGUUCCUAUGGCUUAUAGUGAUUAUUUGAGGAAGAUGGACAGGAGUGGUGAAUGGGGUGAUCAUGUCACGUUGCAGGCUGCUGCAGACUGGAUUAGGAGGGAAGAAAAUGAUUCAAUGAUGGAGAGCAUUUGAGAAGCCAUAUUUGGAAGACACCAGUACUAAAGCUUUGGUGUGAUCCUUUUGCACUCCUUUCGAUCUUAAAGCCAAUUUUGAUCCUUGUUGCCUGAGAGAACUUGAGACUAACAAAGUUUUCUGCUACAACUGACAUCAUCAUUGACUCCGAAUGUGAUGUUUCUAGAUGACCUAAGAUUCAUGCCAUGUCCACACUCUUCAACUUGCUCAUAGAAGUUUGCUUCCCUAUUCUUUGGUUUUCAAAGUAAUGGAUAACUGGGAAGUCAUUGUAGUAAGCGGGUAUUCUGCUUUCCUACCAUUUUGUUUUGGAGGUGGGAGACCAGAAGCUGAAGGUUAAACUGUGCAAGUGGUGGGAGGAUCCACCUUAUAUGUAUGGGGUCAAAAUUUUUGUGAUUACCUCUUUUAAGGAUACAUGUUACAUUGAGAUUCUUCCACAGAUGCAAAGGUCUGAAAGAGUGAUAUUUCUCAGUUUUUGGGCAGAGGUUCAUUACAAUUCAAUCUAUCCUGAAG
Molecule: RNA transcript, 1703 nt
Organism: Prosopis cineraria
Lineage: Eukaryota; Viridiplantae; Streptophyta; Magnoliopsida; Fabales; Fabaceae
Gene name: OVARIAN TUMOR DOMAIN-containing deubiquitinating enzyme 9-like
Exons: 11
Source: RefSeq, a predicted model, not a curated record